GAUCCUGUAGCUCAGCCGGUAGAGCGCAACACUUUUAAUGUUGUACCUGGGUUCGAACCCCAGCGGGAUCA
RNAcentral lists this transfer RNA (71 nucleotides) under Candidatus Parvibacillus calidus. Its description in RNAcentral is "tRNA-Lys". It matches the Rfam family "tRNA". Rfam says of the family: Transfer RNA (tRNA) molecules are approximately 80 nucleotides in length. Their secondary structure includes four short double-helical elements and three loops (D, anti-codon, and T loops). Further hydrogen bonds mediate the characteristic L-shaped molecular structure. tRNAs have two regions of fundamental functional importance: the anti-codon, which is responsible for specific mRNA codon recognition, and the 3' end, to which the tRNAs corresponding amino acid is attached (by aminoacyl-tRNA synthetases). tRNAs cope with the degeneracy of the genetic code in two manners: having more than one tRNA (with a specific anti-codon) for a particular amino acid; and 'wobble' base-pairing, i.e. permitting non-standard base-pairing at the 3rd anti-codon position. The record is from RNAcentral. Lineage: Bacteria; Pseudomonadati; Bacteroidota; Saprospiria; Saprospirales; Saprospiraceae.